CCUACGGGAGGCAGCAGUGGGGAAUAUUGGACAAUGGGGGGAACCCUGAUCCAGCCAUGCCGCGUGUGUGAAGAAGGCCCUCGGGUUGUAAAGCACUUUCAGUGAGGAAGAACGCCUGGUGGUUAAUACCCAUCAGGAAAGACAUCACUCACAGAAGAAGCACCGGCUAACUCCGUGCCAGUAGCCGCGGUAAUACGGAGGGUGCGAGCGUUAAUCGGAAUUACGGGGCGUAAAGCGCGCGUAGGUGGCUUGAUAAGCCGGUUGUGAAAGCCCCGGGCUCAACCUGGGAACGGCAUCCGGAACUGUCAAGCUAGAGUGCAGGAGAGGAAGGUAGAAUUCCCGGUGUAGCGGUGAAAUGCGUAGAGAUCGGGAGGAAUACCAGUGGCGAAGGCGGCCUUCUGGACUGACACUGACACUGAGGUGCGAAAGCGUGGGUAGCAAACAGGAUUAGAUACCCUAGUAGUC
RNAcentral lists this ribosomal RNA (465 nucleotides) under Vreelandella stevensii. RNAcentral describes it as "partial 16S ribosomal RNA". It matches the Rfam family "Bacterial small subunit ribosomal RNA", at positions 338 to 795 of the family's 1533-position model. The record is from RNAcentral. Lineage: Bacteria; Pseudomonadati; Pseudomonadota; Gammaproteobacteria; Oceanospirillales; Halomonadaceae.